AUGCGCAUAGUAAAGCCCCAAUCUAUUCCACCUGUAUCCCGUGGUGGAAGUGCUGAAUCUCCGGAUUCUGUACAUAACAAUUUUGAAGAUGCGCCCAGUACUUGCGGUUCUUUUCGGGAGCGUGGUCAGACAUCUAAGGCGGACUCUGGAAAUUAUGCAGCCAGUCCUACAAGAGGUGACCAGGAAGCACCGGUACAGUCACGUACUGGUUGGUUCCCCUCAAUUGAAGCACAAAAGACUGAAGCAAACCCAGAUAUUCGUCAGCAGCGCAUUCCUGAAACUGUGAGUCAGGAUGCUGAAGGUUAG
Molecule: ribosomal RNA, 306 nt
Filed under: Triticum aestivum (bread wheat)
Lineage: Eukaryota; Viridiplantae; Streptophyta; Magnoliopsida; Poales; Poaceae
Description: partial small subunit ribosomal RNA
Source: RNAcentral